This 442-nucleotide ribosomal RNA is filed under the name uncultured bacterium. Its description in RNAcentral is "SSU rRNA". It matches the Rfam family "Bacterial small subunit ribosomal RNA", at positions 26 to 518 of the family's 1533-position model. The record is from RNAcentral.
AGAGCGAACGCUGGCGGCAGGCUUAACACAUGCAAGUCGAGCGCCCCGCAAGGGGAGCGGCAGACGGGUGAGUAACGCGUGGGAACGUACCUUUGGUUCGGAACAACACAGGGAAACUUGUGCUAAUACCGGAUAAGCCCUUACGGGGAAAGAUUUAUCGCCGAAAGAUCGGCCCGCGUCUGAUUAGCUAGUUGGUGAGGUAACGGCUCACCAAGGCGACGAUCAGUAGCUGGGUCUGAGAGGAUGAUCAGCCACAUUGGGACUGAGACACGGCCCAAACUCCUACGGGAGGCAGCAGUGGGGAAUAUUGGACAAUGGGCGCAAGCCUGAUCCAGCCAUGCCGCGUGAGUGAUGAAGGCCCUAGGGUUGUAAAGCUCUUUUAACGGGGAGAUAAUGACGGUACCCGUAGAAUAAGCCCGGCUAACUUCGUGCCAGCAGCCGC